UGUAUUUAUUAGAUAAAAAACCAAUGCCCUUCGGGGCUCCUUGGUGAUUCAUGAUAACUUUACGGAUCGCAUAGCCUUGCGCUGGCGACGGUUCAUUCAAAUUUCUGCCCUAUCAACUUUCGAUGGUAAGGUAUUGGCUUACCAUGGUUUCAACGGGUAACGGGGAAUUAGGGUUCGAUUCCGGAGAGGCAGCCUGAGAAACGGCUACCACAUCCAAGGAAGGCAGCAGGCGCGCAAAUUACCCAAUCCCGACACGGGGAGGUAGUGACAAUAAAUACUGAUACAGGGCUCUUUUGGGUCUUGUAAUUGGAAUGAGUACAAUUUAAACCUCUUAACGAGGAACAAUUGGAGGGCAAGUCUGGUGCCAGCAGCCGCGGUAAUUCCAGCUCCAAUAGCGUAUAUUAAAGUUGUUGCAGUUAAAAAGCUCGUAGUUGAAACUUGGGCCUGGCUGGCGGGUCCGCCUCACCGCGUGCACUCGUCCGGCCGGGCCUUCCUUCUGAAGAACCUCAUGCCCUUCACUGGGCGUGCUGGGGAACCAGG
This 540-nucleotide ribosomal RNA is filed under the name uncultured eukaryote. RNAcentral describes it as "SSU rRNA". It matches the Rfam family "Eukaryotic small subunit ribosomal RNA", at positions 202 to 746 of the family's 1831-position model. The record is from RNAcentral.